CCGCGCGGGUGGGAAGACCCUCAGCCGCUGGGGCGCCGUGGCCAACCCUGAGCCCGUUCUCUGGGGCCUGGCUGCUCCCGCCUGCGCGCCCCUGUGUGGCGUUCCAGGUGGUCGUGCUACCCGAGGUUCGCGCGUGCAGGUGUUGUCUGAGGUGUGAGACGCGUCGCUGUGGUUGUCAUGGACACAACACGCUGUUGGGUUGAUCUGUUCCUGUGUGGCCCCCCGCGCGCUGGAGAGCGCUGCACCCCGGGCCCAGCCCCAGCCCGGGUCUGGUUCUGGAGGUGGGUGCGUGGCGUUCUAGCCUCCUGUUUCACUGUUUCGGAGGUGGCAAGAUGGGUGCUUACUCAGUCUCUCUUAACACCUGGAGGCAAGUUAGCCUUCCCGUCCUAGGCUGAGUUUCCUAUUCUUCAGCUCACUGACCACAGAAAUGAAGGGAUCCAGACUUCAGGCUGGCACAGAGGAUCUGAGAGCAAGUCUCCAAGGCCCAUGUGAAUGACAUCCUGAAGGGCACACCUGGAGCUUACUUUUCCCAUCCCCUCUUUAAUAGCCCACCAUUUCCUGGCAGUGAGAGUUACAGCAUCUGGGACAGGAGACCCCUCUGUGUUCUUAAAAAUAAAAAAAAUAAAAAUAAAAACAAUUUAAAAAAAU
This 648-nucleotide long non-coding RNA is filed under the name Ictidomys tridecemlineatus (thirteen-lined ground squirrel). Its description in RNAcentral is "lncRNA (ENSSTOG00000031336.1)". The record is from RNAcentral. Lineage: Eukaryota; Metazoa; Chordata; Mammalia; Rodentia; Sciuridae.